RNAcentral lists this unclassified non-coding RNA (385 nucleotides) under Hevea brasiliensis (rubber tree). Lineage: Eukaryota; Viridiplantae; Streptophyta; Magnoliopsida; Malpighiales; Euphorbiaceae. The record is from RNAcentral.
CAAGGAAUAGCAUGUUCUGCUACUAACCAACUACAGGAACUGAUACAUAUUUUUUAAGCAAUAGGGACUCUAAUAUUUUUCAUGCAAAAUCUUAGGAAAAGUAAUUAUCUCUUUUUUCUUCUUUCAUUUCUUUCCCCAUGUUUUUAUAAUUUUGAAUUUUCUUUCUCAAAAUUGGUUGCAUUUUUUUUCUUUUACUUUACUGGAUUGAUAAUUUCAACUAAAGAUAUUUUGUAAUCAGCUCAAUAAUCUUCAGAAGGUUUUUCCCAAAUUCAUUAACAAGGAAAAAAAAUUCACUAUUUCUUUUAUCUUUCCUCUUUAUUCCUCUUUCUUAUUUUAUUUCUUCUUUUGACAAUCGUUGCAAAAGUUAGUUAAGUUUAGAUGUUUG